Molecule: ribosomal RNA, 41 nt
Filed under: Americamysis bahia
Lineage: Eukaryota; Metazoa; Arthropoda; Malacostraca; Mysida; Mysidae
Description: partial 28S ribosomal RNA
Source: RNAcentral
GAGAUUACCCGCCAAAUUUAAGCAUAUCAAUAAGCGGAGGA